Fukomys damarensis (Damara mole-rat) is the source of this 313-nucleotide unclassified non-coding RNA. It matches the Rfam family "Metazoan signal recognition particle RNA". From Rfam's summary of the family: The signal recognition particle (SRP) is a universally conserved ribonucleoprotein. It is involved in the co-translational targeting of proteins to membranes. NCBI's taxonomy places the organism in Eukaryota, Metazoa, Chordata, Mammalia, Rodentia, Bathyergidae. The record is from Ensembl.
GCCGGGCGUGGUGGCGCGCGCCUGUAGUCCCAGCUACUCGGGAGGCUGAGGUGGGAGGAUCGCUUGAGUCCAGGAGUUCUGGGCUGCAGUGUGCUAUGCCAAUCGGGUGUCCGCACUAAGUUCGGCAUCAAUAUGGUGACCUCCCGGGAGCGGGGGACCACCAGGUUGCCUAAGGAGGGGUGAACCGGCCCAGGUCGGAAACGGAGCAGGUCAAAUCUUUGAAACAUUGCCUUUGUUGCUCAAAGGCUGGGAAGGUCUCUGUCUCAAAUGGUGGGUACAGGUGCAGUAGUGAAUCCUGGGUCAGUACCAAGUU